AGCGAACGCUGGCGGCAGGCCUAACACAUGCAAGUCGAGCGCCCGGCAGCGGGAGCGGCAGACGGGUGAGUAACGCGUGGGGAUCUACCCAUUGGUACGGAAUAACUCCGGGAAACUGGAACUAAUACCGUAUGAGCCCUUCGGGGUAAAGAUUUAUCGCCAAUGGAUGAACCCGCGUCAGAUUAGCUGGUUGGUGAGGUAAAGGCUCACCAAGGCGACGAUCUGUAGCUGGU
This 233-nucleotide ribosomal RNA is filed under the name uncultured bacterium. RNAcentral describes it as "partial 16S ribosomal RNA". It matches the Rfam family "Bacterial small subunit ribosomal RNA", at positions 29 to 291 of the family's 1533-position model. The record is from RNAcentral.